CGGCGUGCUUACACAUGCAAGUCGAACGAACCUUCGGGUUAGUGGCGGACGGGUGAGUAACGCGUGGGAAUCUGCCCUCAGGAGGGGGAUAACGGUUGGAAACGGCCGCUAAUACCCCAUAUGCCGCGAGGUGAAAUGAAUUUCGCCUGAGGAUGAGCUCGCGUCUGAUUAGCUAGUUGGUGUAGGUAAUGGCUCACCAAGGCAUCGAUCAGUAGCUGGUCUGAGAGGAUGAUCAGCCACACUGGGACUGAGACACGGCCCAGACUCCUACGGGAGGCAGCAGUGGGGAAUUUUCCGCAAUGGGCGAAAGCCUGACGGAGCAACGCCGCGUGAGGGAUGAAGGCCUCUGGGCUGUAAACCUCUUUUAUCAAGGAAGAAGAUCUGACGGUACUUGAUGAAUAAGCCA
This 406-nucleotide ribosomal RNA is filed under the name uncultured bacterium. RNAcentral's name for it is "bacterial SSU rRNA". It matches the Rfam family "Bacterial small subunit ribosomal RNA", at positions 40 to 493 of the family's 1533-position model. The record is from RNAcentral.